GGGGAGAGACGCCCCAACGUUCGCCGAAGGGUCGGAUCCUACCGCCACGGACCCAAGACUAUUAUAAAGACAGAGGAGGAGGUGUGUCAGAGGAAGCCGAAGAAGGCGCUGUUCAGCGGUGCCCUGAGACGCCGUGUAGACUCUGAUCAGCACCCGGCGCACAGCAAGAGGACUGUGCACAGAGGAUGUCACACGGAUGACACGGUGAACUCUGAGAGCAGCUCCACGUCUGAUUCUACAGGGGACCAUGACAACGGUAAGA
Long non-coding RNA from Oncorhynchus tshawytscha (Chinook salmon), 262 nucleotides. RefSeq lists it as uncharacterized. The transcript has 3 exons. NCBI's taxonomy places the organism in Eukaryota, Metazoa, Chordata, Actinopteri, Salmoniformes, Salmonidae. The record is from RefSeq and is a predicted model, not a curated record.